UACGGAGGGGGCUAGCGUUGUUCGGAAUUACUGGGCGUAAAGCGCACGUAGGCGGCUUUGUAAGUUAGAGGUGACAGCCCGGGGCUCAACUCCGGAAUUGCCUUUAAGACUGCAUCGCUAGAAUUGUGGAGAGGUAAGUGGAAUUCCGAGUGUAGAGGUGAAAUUCGUAGAUAUUCGGAAGAACACCAGUGGCGAAGGCGACUUACUGGACACAUAUUGACGCUGAGGUGCGAAAGCGUGGGGAGCAAACAGG
Molecule: ribosomal RNA, 253 nt
Filed under: uncultured bacterium
Lineage: Bacteria
Description: partial 16S ribosomal RNA
Rfam family: Bacterial small subunit ribosomal RNA
Source: RNAcentral